AUCUAUACAAUAUCCACACUCAAAUAAGUUCUCAUUACAAUUAUUGAUACACUAUUUUACAAAAUAGUGAGAACUAAUAAAACAACUUCUAGAACCAUCAUUCCAUAUCCCGACUAGUACUCGCUACAUUCUCGCCUCCUGAGAAGAAAAAUGGAACAAAAAAAGGGUGAGCUCAACUAGCCCAGUAAAAAAUAUUAUGACUAAGAUAAUAUAGAACAAAUUAUUGUUAGUCUUCAACAGGAAAAAAUCUGAUAGAAUAUAAUAGACAACAAAUUUCAGAUCAAUAUUCGCAGCGGAAAUAAUAAUUCAUAGAAGAGUUACGUAGAGAAUGAAAUCUACUAUUAUCUAUGAAUUUAAAAGUCCAUCAUCAAUAUUUUUUUCCUGCAACAUUAAUCAAUAUACAUCAUAGAUCAAAUAUUCAUCUUUGCACUACAGGCCAAAUAUAUUCAUCAGUUGGUUAUGUUCAUCUCAACACCUGUACAUGUUUGCACUACGGCCAAAGAUAUUCAUAAGAAAAUCAACCAUCUUUGCACUAUAGGCCAAAGAUAUUCAGUAAUAUUAUCAUUUAGGACUGAGGAUGAUGAAAAAUAUUUUAAAAAAAACGAAUCUAGUGAAACAAAAGAACAAAUAUUAAGGAUUCGUACUUUAAACAAUCCGAGUUCAAAAAUACUUCAUAAAUAAUCAUAGUGGAGCAAAAUUCAAGAAUGAUCAAAACAUGGAUACAAGCAAAACUAGUAUCCAUAAUAGAUAUUUUGGACAAAAAAUAAAAAUUAAUUUUUCUAUGAAUAGUGUCGUAUUCGUGAAUAGUGCCAUAUACGUGAAUAGUGCCGUAUACGUGAAUAGUAACCCCGACACUAAAAGACAAGAAAUUCAAAAGAAAAAUCUUACCAAUAUUCCAACAUAAUGAUAUUAGAAGAAAUAAUAUCAUUUUAAAAAAAAUAACAUCCCCUACUUCGAAAAGACAGUACUUCUGACUGGAAUACUGAAUAUAUUACUGAAGAAAACUUGAACCGUAUAGCAACACUCAAAGUAUCAAAAUACUCACAAGAAUACGCUCGAUAAUAUAGAGAGAGAAAGAGAGAGAAAACUUAUUUCUGGUGUGAUUUUCAAUUCUAACCUAAGCACCCUAUUUAUAGGAAAACGCUUUGAAUACCAAAGCAGAAAAUUUAAUAAAAUAUUAAUAUAUUUAUUAUAAAUUCCUACGCACACCAAAGACAUCUGAUUUCAGCCAUUAACAUGUGCAAGUGGGGCCCACCCAAGUGUAAAAAAUAUUUUUCUUAAAUAAAACAAUUAAAACUUUCAAAAAUCAAUUAUUCCGAAACUUUGGAGCUUCAAUAAUUCAUAACAAAUAGCCAUUUUAUCAGAAAAAUUUGAAUCUUAUGUCCAUUCCAUAGGAAAUUCAAUUCUCUACAACUUUGUAAGUAUAAGUUUUUCCAAAUUCCAAACAGAAAUUGACCAAAAUUCACAUACGGACGAUUUUACAGGCUAUAAUCAAAUUUCAGUCAAGAAAUGGGGUCCACAAACAUGAAAAACAUGUUUUAAAUAUUUUUAGUAACAAAAAUACUCUUCCUCCUCAUUUAUUCAUAUAUCCCACAUUCAUUGUAAAAAUAUCACCAUUAUUAUAUUAUUAAAAUAUAAUAAUAUAUUUAAAUGAAUUAUUUUAUCAGAAAAGAUAAAAUAUCAUUUUUUUAACAAUUGUCACUUUAAAAUUUUCUUCAUCGAUAUCUACAUAAAAUGAAUAUUUUCCUUAUCAUAUAAAUCAAUAAUUAAUUAUUCACAAAUAAUAUUACAGAAUCACAAUAUCGACAACCAGGCCAUUCCCAGAAAAGAGGAAGUUUUUCAAUAAGGAUUUCUCCUUACUAGCGCACAAUUAGGUGACCAAACCUUUCUUUAGACAGAACUUUUUAGACAUUGUCAAUAAUGCUAUCUAAUAAUAUUAUUCAAAUAAUAUGAAUUAUUGAUUUGAUAAUGAAAAAUACUGUGUAGUGACAAUUAUUGAAACAAUAAUAUAAAAUAUCAACGUAGCAAUUAUUGAAUCAAUAAAAUAAAAUAUUGAACAGUAAUUACUGUAAUAAUUAUUGAGUAGUGCCUUCUUACGUAAGAAUCAAUAAUUGGUGCAAUACCGUGUGCUACUGUGUUUUAACCACCGGGUAUUCCAACAGUAUUAACGAUAACAACUACGCCGUUAUUUAUAAACAACUUAUACUUGUCUUUUUCUUCAUCCAAUCACUUUCCGUUAUGGGGCCCACACAAGGCUGCGGCGUCGUACGAAUAUUCCUCGACAGCAAGAAUAUUCCACGACCAAACGAAUAUUCCCCGACAACAAUGAAUAUUUUAUAACCACUUGCUUAUUUGAAAUAUUUACGUAUUUUACCCAUAACUAACCACAUUAAUCAAAUCAACCCUUACUAUUUCAAAAUAAUAAAUAGAGAAAAUACAAUUUCAUUUAUAAUAAAUUUGGGGUCUUACAACUAGGACUAUAUAGGACUACGCCUAUUUGUAACCGAAUUCAACCUACAUGAAAUAGCUGGAAAGGGUUUAUGCUCCGAAUUAUGAUGGGACUGAGACUGCGAAAACCUCUCAGGUGAGGAAACAUCACUCAACCUAUUGCUCUUUGAUGAAGUAGGAGAGCCUUCUAAAUCUUCAGACUGGUUGGACAUGAUAUGAAGUUUCUUUAGAAGGUUCUUCAUAUUAUUUGUGCUAAGCUAUACAAGUCAAUGCUAGCGGAAAAAAAAUCUAGCCAUAAAACUCUCCAUUGUCUUGGACCAAACAUGAGAGCAGUGACAAAACCACAAGUACAAUGAUAGAUUUCAAGCCAACCCAGAAAGGCAGUUUAGGUCAACAACAAGAAACAUAAACCCAUCAAACAUAAACUUUUUAGUUUGAUGAUCAUUUACAAGAAACAAACACAAUUAUGUCUUAAAACUUAAAAGAUAUGGAACAAAAUGAUCAUUAAGAUUCAACUAUACAAUAAUUUUCUCCAUCUUUAACACAUAUUUUGGAAGUCGGAGUUUCUUGUGGUUUACAAUUUCCGUUAUAUCUACGGGAUCAUUAUAAAACCUUUGUUUAAAUUUGGUGUAUAAAAGUAAUAGUUUGGAGAACUUAGCGAAAUUCAACUCGAAUACUAUAGGCCUCAGCAGCUGGUAUAGUCAAAAAAAUAUUAUGUUUUGCGGGACAUAUUGACGACGGCUAAGCCGUCGAUAAUGACAUUAUUCUCGACGACAGUAUUCCCGAUGCUAAUGAGGCCGUCGUCAAUGACCAUAUAUUUGAAUUCACCACCACCGCGUUUCCAAACAUAUGUUCAUUUAUGAAUGCCACCUUGUGCUCCCUCAAUUUUUUGGUUGGACGCCCUUUCCGUCCAUUGUUAUUGACUAAACUCUUUAGCGACUCUGUAACUACCUAUGAAGAAAAAUAAUUCAAUUUAUUUGCUUGCUAGGGUGACUAAUAAUUUAUCUUGUACAAUACGAUUGGUUGUGGGUAGUCCAAAUAUCAGGUUGUGGCUAGUACAAAUAUCUAUAUUGUGGUUCUCUAUCAUUUGCAAGUAUUUCAAAGCUUGAAGGCAGGAUUGUGGGCCUGUAUUUUUAAGAAGAAUCAUACUAUGGCAUUGAACGAAACAGAAAACUUAAAGAGGAUAUAGGAAUUGUUGGAAUGUAGGCCAGAUAUAGAUUUUGAGAUUGUGCUAAACAGAGUCUCACUUUGAAUCAAUCCUAUACAAAGGCUGAAUUCAAGCAAGAGUUCGGGAAUUUGUUAGGAAGUGGUAGUUCUCAAAAUUUCAGCGCUUAGCCGAACUGAUGUUCCCAUGGGGCAGGUUAUUUGAUUAUUCUUGAGCCUGAUCGAUCUCUAAAUUACUUUGCUUUUGACAUCUACAAUGUUUUGGGACUUGAUGCAUAUCCUUUUAACUUGGAAAAUUAUGUGAAAUUCAUGACGAACAAUCUAGAGAGAACCCUGGUGUUGGAUAAACUUCUAUGACCUUAUGCUCCUUUGCGCAGAGGAUGUAAUACCUGCAGAAUAUUCUAGUUGCAUAAGAUGUUCUACCUGCCAGCGGGAAGGUAUGCUUGUUCUCAUGAUGAGCCCUAGUUAGCGUGUAUGCUAUUAUUUUGUGUCAUUCUAUGGUUAAUUUUGGGUUUUUUUGUGUUUAAUUUUGCCUUGCUUUGUAAGCAAAGUAAGUAAAGGACCUGUAAAUGUGUUUCUGAAAUUUUCAAUCCCUCUCCCAUGGUGAUAUUGUGGUCUUAGAUAUUUUAGGGAAGUAUGUUCUUUUAUUGUUUGCAACACAUUCUUCCUAUGCAUCUAGAAUUUUUUGCGAGAAAUUAAGAAAAUUUAUUCUGCACUGCUAGAGGCAGAUAACUGCUUUGAGAGUAUUUACAUCUCCUUGGAUUGCGAUAAUCCCUAUCUUCCUUCCCCAAUUGCAUCCAUGAAAUGUCAUGGUUGGUCUCCACUCUUUUGUCCUGAAUUUUUCUGCUUCUGUGCUCGAAAAGGUGUUCCUGUUUGAAUAUCCUAAUACACCCCUUCCUGCCAUUGCAGCCUUUGGGCCAAGUGGACAACUUUAAGUAAAAGAAUCCAACUUAGCUAUCAAAGAAAAAUGGCGUUCCAACUAUCUGUUCAUCGACUCAUAUUCAUGUGAAGAAGAGGUUCACAGGGAAUUUGUCAAUGGCUACAAAUGGAACAUGGGACUUAUUUUCCCUGUUAUCUCCUCCAGAAAGUAGAUUUGCACUUGAUGUGAUGGAUGAAUUACUCAAUGGUUUAGAUAUGUUGUUUGAGCAAGAUUGUGUUUUAAGUUUUAUGUUUGGUAAGCAACAAAGCUAAUAAUAGUAGUGGGCAGUUAAUAUAUGGUGUUUGAUCAAUUUUUGUGCGAUAAAAUAAGUAACUCCAUUCGUUACAAAAUUAGAUAUAUAUGUUUGUUUUAAAAUUAGGGAUACACUUCUAUUUUGAGAUAUAAAAUACCAUUAUAAUGUCCAAUGUACCCUUACAGAGGUUACUUGGAUAGAAUGGUUUGCAAUGAACAUUUCAUUGUCAUUUGUCCCCAUAAUUUGCCCCUUGAGUCCGGUGUUUCUCCUAUGUGUUGGGAUCACAAGUGACAUCCCUAAUGUAUUUUAGGCUUGAUAAGCUGGGGUUGGAUGUGGGUGUGAUUAGUAUAGGUGAGUUAGGCCAUGUAUCUGUCUAUUUCGCUAAAGGCUUCUGGGCAAGUCACCGCCAUUAGAUUAGUUGACUACAUUGAUUAAUUAAUCAGGGUGACCAAAAUUAAAAUGGGUUUAAAAUUUUCAAAAUUUUAACAUCUCUACGAUGCGGAAUUUCUAAUUCAAAAUUUCAUAAAACAUAGCAUGCAUACCUGUAAGCACUUGGAGCGUAAAAUUGAGAACUGCAACUUUCAUUUCCUAUACCUCUCAUACCAAAAGUAGAGUUCUGGAUCUGAAUCUUCGAGAGAGUGAUUACUAUUUAGCUCAGUCUGAAAACUGAGCACUUGAUCACUCACGUCCCACAAAAACAUUCCUUCUUUUGUUAGCAAGUUGCCAAGCCUUUUGACAGAGGAAGAAGAAACCAUGGUGUUUGAUUAUUAUGUGUAAGCUUCGGAGUCUCUCUCUCUUAUAUCAAUUGGAGAUCUAGGGUUAACAUUUCCACAAUUUUUC
RNAcentral lists this long non-coding RNA (5624 nucleotides) under Panax ginseng (ginseng). Its description in RNAcentral is "long non-coding RNA (PGIN_LNC011969)". The record is from RNAcentral. Lineage: Eukaryota; Viridiplantae; Streptophyta; Magnoliopsida; Apiales; Araliaceae.